GACUGAACGCCUCUAAGUCAG
This 21-nucleotide non-coding RNA is filed under the name Arabidopsis thaliana (thale cress). RNAcentral also lists the same sequence under 1 other name. Lineage: Eukaryota; Viridiplantae; Streptophyta; Magnoliopsida; Brassicales; Brassicaceae. The record is from RNAcentral.